GUAAAUAUAGUUUACCCAAAACACUAGACUGUGACUCUAGAAACAGAAGUCCCAUCUUCUUAUUUACC
This 68-nucleotide transfer RNA is filed under the name Podarcis hispanicus (Iberian wall lizard). Its description in RNAcentral is "tRNA-His". It matches the Rfam family "tRNA". Rfam says of the family: Transfer RNA (tRNA) molecules are approximately 80 nucleotides in length. Their secondary structure includes four short double-helical elements and three loops (D, anti-codon, and T loops). The record is from RNAcentral. Lineage: Eukaryota; Metazoa; Chordata; Lepidosauria; Squamata; Lacertidae.